Molecule: ribosomal RNA, 509 nt
Filed under: uncultured bacterium
Lineage: Bacteria
Description: partial 16S ribosomal RNA
Rfam family: Bacterial small subunit ribosomal RNA
Source: RNAcentral
AUUGAACGCUGGCGGCAUGCCUUACACAUGCAAGUCGAACGGCAGCGGGGGAGAAGCUUGCUUUUCCUGCCGGCGAGUGGCGAACGGGAGAGUAAUACAUCGGAACGUGCCCUGUAGUGGGGGAUAACUAGUCGAAAGAUUAGCUAAUACCGCAUACGACCUGAGGGUGAAAGUGGGGGACCGCAAGGCCUCAUGCUAUAGGAGCGGCCGAUGUCUGAUUAGCUAGUUGGUGGGGGUAAAGGCCUACCAAGGCGACGAUCAGUAGCUGGGCUGAGAGGACGAUCAGCCACACUGGGACUGAGACACGGCCCAGACUCCUACGGGAGGCAGCAGUGGGGAAUUUUGGACAAUGGGCGAAAGCCUGAUCCAGCAAUGCCGCGUGUGUGAAGAAGGCCUUCGGGUUGUAAAGCACUUUUGUCCGGAAAGAAAUGGCUCUGGUUAAUACCUGGGGUCGAUGACGGUACCGGAAGAAUAAGGACCGGCUAACUACGUGCCAGCCGCCGCGGUAA